AAUUAAAUUGUUAAUGUAUAUACAUUUUUACCCUCAUGCAAAUUCCACUAACGUGUUGCCCUAUUUCCCUGAAAAAAUGCAUAGCCCCCAAACUUGAAAGUUGGGACAAAAAAACAAACGAAAAUGGCUUCUCUGAGCAGCAAAAAUGGCUAUUUCAACUAGAUUUAGAACGCGGCAGCCAUAGCUCCAGUGGUGCAGGCGGCGCCACCAGCAAAGAGAAGGAGGAUAGCAGCGUCUACUCCAAUGUCAUAAAGGGUUAUUGCAACUUUCAAUUCUAUUUUAUUAUCAGCGAAAAUGUUUCAGUGAUUAGAAAUUUAUUUGUGGCUCAUAGAAUUAGAAGACGAGGCCGCGUAAUUUCGGCAAGCUUCAUCCUCUGAUCAUUCUUUCUAAUUUUACUAUUUGAAGAUUCGAAAGGUGAAAAUUUAAAUAUAAAUCUCUCGUUUAAAUUUAUUGUUCAAUCUUCUAAUCUGAUUUUUUAAUUUCCCCAAUUUUGAAGAAAUGGGC
Molecule: long non-coding RNA, 504 nt
Filed under: Salvia miltiorrhiza (redroot sage)
Lineage: Eukaryota; Viridiplantae; Streptophyta; Magnoliopsida; Lamiales; Lamiaceae
Description: long non-coding RNA (SMIL_LNC003498)
Source: RNAcentral